This is an RNA transcript of Helianthus annuus (common sunflower), 1407 nucleotides long. RefSeq lists it as uncharacterized. NCBI's taxonomy places the organism in Eukaryota, Viridiplantae, Streptophyta, Magnoliopsida, Asterales, Asteraceae. The record is from RefSeq and is a predicted model, not a curated record. The transcript is spliced from 5 exons.
UCUAUAUAUAAUAAACAAAACCAUUGGGGGACACAUGUCACCCAUUGGUUUAAGCCAAAUAAGCUGCACAUGUGGCAGUACAUGUGGCAUAGCUCUACAUCAAGCAUUGGAAUAGCUUCUCUCAUACGAUUCAUUAUACUCUCUCUCUCUCUCUCUCUCUCAUUCCAAUCAAAUCCUAAAAAAAUCCGGUUUCACUUAUUGACUUCCUCCGCAUCUUCAUCCUCUGCGUCUCUCUUUCUCAAUCCCCUCGGCAACAACCUUCAAUCUGAUCUUUCAUUCAUCAUUCAACGGAUUUCAAGAAUCUAAAGUCGACGAGAUGGUGUACGGAUUCGCAGCCCGUGUGUGGAAGAACGACAAAAAAUCGCUGAAACUUCCUGCUGAUUAUGGCGAAUGGAUUAAGAAGUUUGCUUAUCCAGAUAAGAAGGCCGUCAUUCGGACACUCAAUGGGAAGAUUUUUGAAGUCAAAGUGUUCAACCUUGCAGGCGACUAUUUUCUUUACAAUGGUUGGUUGGAUGUGGUCACGUCAUUGAAUUUACCAGAUAAUUCAUGGGUUGUUUUCCAGUACGAAGAAGCUUUGACUUCGUUCCGCCUGUUUCACUUUUAUCAAGAUAUUUCGCUUGCGCCUUCUAACUACUUCUACUACAAAGCUGGACAUGUGAAAGACCGAGACGACUCCAUGUAUGUGAACAGGUUGUUUGUUCAUCAUUCCCUCCUGAAUACCUGUCCAUCAUAUCCUGUCGUUGUUCGGGGGGCUGGAAAUCGCAAAUGGUUUGUUCGGAUGGAUGUGUUAGACCAUGAGCUUUACAUUACUACAGGUUGGAGUCGAAUCAAGAAGGAGAUGUCGAUAACGGAUGAUCAUUUGUUGGUUUUUGAAAUGGUUGAUUUCAAUACGUUUGAGUUGAGCGUUUUUAGUUGUAAGCCUGCCCUUCUCACAUUCCCACCAGAACUUUGUUUGAUAAAAAAAAGAACCAACUGAUGAUUUAAUUGAAGUGUCUGAUGAUGAUGUGCCUAAUCCGAUUGUUGAACCUGUUAUUGAACAGAGUGACGAUGACGAAGUACCGGUUACUUUUGUUGUUGACAAUCAUUUUCGUCUGAAGAAGAAGUGGGCGCAAACGCAUGGCUUGGAUCGGAAGAUGGAUUUGACCAUCAAGGACGGCGCAGGUCGAACUUGGGACGUGGCUGUUGGUAAGGAGUUCUCCCAAGGCUGUCCGCACUACAAUGUCACCGGUAUGCGAGAGUUUGUUAGAGACAAAUAGUUGGUAUAUGGUUCCCACUUUCAGAUGAUAUAUGUUAAAAGUCAAGGUAUGUUGCUUUACAAUUGAGCUGGUGAAGGUAUGUGGUAGAUGUUGAUAGUAUAUGUUGAACAAGCAGGUUGGUUUUAGACAAUGAUUAGUAGUAUUUUUUUUU